AUUGAACGCUGGCGGCAUGCUUUACACAUGCAAGUCGAACGGUAACAGGGUGCUUGCACCGCUGACGAGUGGCGAACGGGUGAGUAAUGCGUCGGAACGUGCCGAGUAGUGGGGGAUAACGCAGCGAAAGUUGUGCUAAUACCGCAUACGUACUGAGGGAGAAAGUGGGGGACCUUCGGGCCUCACGCUAUUCGAGCGGCCGCCGACUGAUUAGCUAGUAGGUGAGGUAAAGGCUCACCUAGGCGACGAUCAGUAGCGGGUCUGAGAGGAUGAUCCGCCACACUGGGACUGAGACACGGCCCAGACUCCUACGGGAGGCAGCAGUGGGGAAUUUUGGACAAUGGGCGAAAGCCUGAUCCAGCCAUGCCGCGUGUCUGAAGAAGGCCUUCGGGUUGUAAAGGACUUUUGUCAGGGAGGAAAUCCCUAGUGCUAAUAACACUGGGGGAUGACAGUACCUGAAGAAUAAGCACCGGCUAACUACGUGCCAGCCGCCGCAGUAA
This 500-nucleotide ribosomal RNA is filed under the name uncultured bacterium. RNAcentral's name for it is "partial 16S ribosomal RNA". It matches the Rfam family "Bacterial small subunit ribosomal RNA", at positions 30 to 523 of the family's 1533-position model. The record is from RNAcentral.